This 3978-nucleotide long non-coding RNA is filed under the name Homo sapiens (human). Its description in RNAcentral is "HSALNT0213945". The record is from RNAcentral. Lineage: Eukaryota; Metazoa; Chordata; Mammalia; Primates; Hominidae.
CUAAUUCACAAUCCCACCAACAGUGCCCAAGGGUUCCCUUUUCUCCAGAUCAUACCAACACUUGUAAUCUUUUGUCUUUGUGAUAAUGUAACGCCUAAGGUUCUUGCCUAACCACGCCAAAGAAUUGGUGUGGCGGCUGACCGUGUUGAGUGAUAGAGACACGACCGAGAGAGAGAGAGAGAGAGAGAGAGAGAGAGAGAGAGAGAGAGAGAGCAGUAGGUUUUACUGAGCAGAGCAAGAGUACAAAGCUUCCAAGGCGUGGAAGGGGUCCCGAACGGGUAGCCAGAGUUAGCUUAUACGAUUGCCUUUUAAACUCUUUAAGGCGGGAAAUACGUGCAGCGGGAAGAUGUUACCAGAGCGAGAAACAAAGGCAGUAAACUAUUUUGUGACAUGUCCUAGAUUUUGAGGAAGACCGGAAUUGCAGCUUAGGUUUUAUCUACUUUAUGACCUUGCAGCGGCAUGGCAAAGGAGACAGGAUCUUACAGGACUUUACAAGAAUUCACCAGUGAGACCAUCAGAUCUUCGGCUUUGCUUCAUUAGGAGGUUUUUGAUUACUGAUUCAACCUCCUUACUCAUUAUUGGUCUAUUCAGAUUUUCUGUUUCUUCCAGGAGACAGCAAAAUCAACCCUGUCUGUACUUCCUCCUCAGGCUACUCAAUGUGAAGACUAUGAGGAUAAAAAUUUUAUGGUGAUUCACUUCCACUUAAUGAAAGCUCUGCCACUUCGAAGCCAGCAGAGGAACAGAGCUUUAGUGGAGUCCUCCUGAUUGGAUGAAUUGGUGGGCAUGAGUUUGAAACAUAGGAGAGUAAGACUGAGAAAAUCUGAUUAAUCCUCUAACAAUAAUACAUAUUUCAAUUCAAGAAUUAUAAGGUUGGCCACUCUGAAGAAUGCCAGAAAGUUUGUGGCUACUCACUCAGAUUCAAAAAGUAUCAUGGAAGAAGAUUCCUAUCCUCCAAAUUUUUCACCUUAAUUCAAACCAAGGGAUAGAAUUUUGUCUUAGUACAUAGAAUGACCAUAAUGAUUCCAGUGGGCAGAUCCUGAGGGACUCUCCCUCCAAUAUUUUCCCAUUUCAUAGUAUUCACAACUUUGUGUAAUCCCCUCUUUUUGAGUGGGGGUGGGACUGGCAAGUUGCUUCUAACCAAUAGAAUAUGGCCAAGGUAAUAGGAUGUCACCCUCGUGAUUAGUUUACAUUCUAUAGGACUCAGUCUUAGCAUACUUCAGAGGGUUGCUCUCCUGCUUGUCUUGAAGAGGUAAGCCUCCCUGUUGUGAGCACAUAGAGAGGACUACAGGGCAAGGAUCUGUGGACUGCAUAGAGAAGCAGACCGCUGGCACAAAUGUGAAGACCUCAGAUUUAUAAUGGCAAGAUGGGUUUUGCUAGCAACCUGAGGGAACUUAGAUGCAGCUCUUUCCAACCUAUGCCUCUAGAUGAGUAGGCAGCCCAGCCAUUACAUUGAUUACAGCCUUGACAAACCCUGAUCAGACGAUUCAGAUAAAUUGUGCCUGGAUUUCUGGACUAUGGAAAAUAUAAAAUGCAAAUGUUUGUUUUAAGCUGCUAAGAUUAUAGUAAUUUUUGAUCUGUCAUUGAACACAUGUACAAUAAUGAAGGAAUAAUGUCCAUGCAUACAGCUGACAGCACAGAUAACUGAUUUAAAAAUGCUGAGACAUUGAAGUAUGUAUAUACAAAUGGUUAAGUUUGUCUCAGUGAAGUUUCUCAUUAAUAUGAGUUAUCUGUUUAAAUGAGCAUGCAUUACAUAGCACUUAAGAGUAUGAACUCUGAAUUCCUGGGAUGAAAUCCCAGCUCUUUUACAUCUAGCCUUAUGACCCGGAGCAAUCCAUGAAACCUUUCUGAGCCUCAGUUGUUUCAUCUGACAAAUUGAUAAUAAUUUUAUCUAUUUUGCAGUAUUGCUAUGAAGAUUGGAUGAGUAAAUAGCACGCUGUCUAUUUGUUGAAUUAUUAAGAUAAAUAUUUUCAUUUUCUCAGUAUAAAUAUACUGUAAAUUGUGUUAUCACUGCCAAAAUAAUUAAGCUUCAAAAAGGAAAUAAAUAGCUCCUCUCACUGUACCUAGAAUUAAUGUCAGGAAUGGUACAGGCUGUAAAACAAUAGAAAUGUGCAGAUGCCCAUGAUAGAAAGAAAGUUAAUUCAAUGAAAGAACAAAAAGAACAAUGAAAAAUGUCAUGGAUUUGCAGCAGAUUACACAUGUCACAGAAAGAGAUCUCGUAGAAAUUCACUUUCAGAGAAAAUGGGUUACCUACUGGUAAAACAAAGUUUCAAUGGGGAAAUUUUGGCUCAAGAAAGCUGUAAAAGAGUGAAAAAGUUACCUAAUAAGGAUACACAAACAGUAGAAAGAAUGGUUAGUAAAGGAGUAAUCAUAGCAAUAGUAAACUUUAGUGAAAUUCUCUAAGACAGAAGUCAUGAAAAACACAAAGAAAGAAGACACUCUCAUGUCUGUUGCAGCCACAAUAGCCGACAUGUGCAAACAACUUAAGUGUUCAAUGACAGACGAAUGGAUAAAGAAAAUAUCACACACACCCACACCCACACACACACACACACAGGAAUAUUAUUCAACCCUAAAGAAGAAGGAGAUUCUGUCAUUUGCAACCACGUGGAUGAGUCUUGAGGACAUAAAGCUAAGUGAAAUAAGCCAGAGACAGAAAGACAAAUACUGAAUGAUCUCACCUAUAUGUGGAAUCUAAAAAUAAACCAAACUCAUAGUAACAGAGUAGAAUGGUGAUUUCCAGGGACUGGAGGAAGGGAGAAAGAGGAGGGUAUUGGUUAUAGGGCUAUGAGCUAUAAGAUGAAUAAGUGCUGGAAUCCUAACACACAGCAUGGUGACCAUAGUUAAUAACAAUGUGCUGAUUUUUGCAAAGAGAGUAGAUUAUAACUGUUCUCAUCACACACACACACACACACACACACACACACACAAAUGUAACUACGUGAUGUGAUAUGUUUCUUAAUUUGUGGUAAUCACUUUGCAGUGUAUACACAACAUCAAAACAUCGUGUUGUAUAGCCUAAAUAUAUCCAUAUUUAUUUGUAAAUCAUAUCUCAGCAAAGCUGGAGAAAAGAAGAAAGAUUAGCAACGAGUCACUCCUCAUCCAGGCACAUAUUUUACAAAAAUAGGUCAGAGACCAAACUCAGUUAUUCCUGGUUGGAAAAUUAUUAUCAAUUGCUUUAUGAUGUUGCUUUGAUGUUGCAAUGUAUUUGGUUACGUAUACUUUGUAUUUCUGGUGCUUAUAUAUACUUCCAAUAAACAGUAAAUCUGUGUAUAAAUGCAUCUGCUAUACAAUGCUGAUACUGGCAAAACACAUUUUAUUAGCUAUUCAGACAACUAAUGCAGUUUCUCCCUGAAAUCAUCUUCCUCAAUGGAUUAGUGCAUGAUUAAUUUUUCCUUGGACUUCUUUCUCAGACAUAAAUGUUUUACUCAAAUUCUUACAAUCAAAAAUGAGACUAUGUAGUUGGAACAGGCAGAGUUUACAUGGCCUUAAUUUAAAGAGGCAUUGUCUUUGGUCAACUUUUUAAAAAUUACAUUUGGUCUAAUCAUCUUUACAAAUGCUUACAUUCAGUAGGCAAAAUGAUUGAAAAGCCAGAAUCCUUUGAAUCACAUUUUUCUUUGUUAUCAUUUGAGUAUAGAGGCAGCCUUUGUUUUCUGCCAAAAAGAUGAAACAGUUAUAAAAUAAUCAACUUCAGAAGAAAACAUUCUUCUAGGGAAAAAUUAGACCAAACUUUCAUCCAUUUGACUUUACCUAAUGGCAAAGUUAGAUGGUGGGCAGAAAGAGAGUACUUACAUUAUGAUAGCUUCCUAUAAGGUUCAGAUUUACAACUCGGUAAAGUCUGUUUUAUAUUAUUGUAAUAAGUCAUAAAAAUAUAACUAAAAUAGCAAUAAACAUGACCUUUUUAAGCAUUUGUAAAUAUCCCUCUAUUUUUCUCUGUCACCCUUCUCUAAUUUAGAAAGAUAAAUAGAAUAUAAAUAUUGC